Long non-coding RNA from Oreochromis aureus, 1329 nucleotides. The record is from Ensembl. Lineage: Eukaryota; Metazoa; Chordata; Actinopteri; Cichliformes; Cichlidae.
CCUUCAUCCAUCCCAAAGACUGAUUAGCGCGGCAUCCUUGCGCUGACACAUCAUGUAAUUUCUGGAGCUCUCUGUGUGUGUUUGUGUGUCCUCACUCAGGAAUGUGAAGCUCGUUCUUAAAGCUGCUAAGAAGAUUCCCCCCCCGUGUGAUCGUGAAAUCUCUCCGUUGUGAGAGAGAGACCAUCUCUAACCUGUCAGUAGAAAUAGGGGCUUCGAGGAGCUCAGUGAGGAAGGAGCGCAGGGUUUCUCCUCUAGAGGAGGAUUUUUACAGGUAAACGGGACUGCGUUUGAUUCAGAGGGAGAACAGACAGCCAGGCGGGCGCUGACGGUUUGGGUUCGGCAGAUUCGCGCUGUGAGACCGGCGGUGAAUUUAAAGACGGCCGCACUGCUGGAACGCACAGCAGGAAUCGCGCACUUUUCCCAGAGACGCGCGGGAUCACCGCCCGGUGCGUGCCACCUGUGCAGCUCAUGCGCAGACAGCAGCCAAACCACGCAUAUGUGCGCGCACAGCGGGUGAUUUCAUAAGAGGGAAAACACAAGACUCUGCCCCGGAAGGUUCUGCAGACAGCAAUAACUCUGAGAGACGCAAUACUCAAUCUUCCAAAGCCAAAGAGAGGCGCACGCUUCCCACUGCUUCCAUUUGGCCCAGCCGAGCUCCACUCCUCCGUUUUUAAACUCAGGUUGUACACGAGGACAAAGUCAGCUCGGUGUUUCUUGUGGAUUCAUGAAUGCAACAUUUUGACAGACUCUCGAACUGCGCAGUCAUCGCCAGCUCUCACAAACUUCACGUCUUCCAUUUCCAGCAGUUUCCAUCAUCCCCCACCAGCUGAGCUUCAAACACCGGGCUUCCAUUAGCUCUUACAUUGUCUGGUGCAGGCAGUGUCAAUAAGGAGACCUGAGGGUGUGCCACGGAGUAUAAAUAGUUGAACAAAGAGGCCGAAACCUGAGACCUGGUCUGAUUCUUCCCUCUGGUAACUCUAGAUGCUCAAACACUGAGAGGCGCACGAACAAACUGCUGCUGAUGUGAGCUUUUUCCUGUUGUUGAACAAGGAGCAGAGCAAGAGGAGGACCCACCCACCCCUUAGAUAAACAGGAGGUGACUUUUAGUCACAGUUGGAACGUCUUUGGCGUGUUUAUGCUCUGAGGGUUUCCAGAUCUGUCCUGUCUGUGUAUGUGUGUGCGUCUGUGUGUGCACUGUUGAGAGACGCCACCACCACUCUGUCCUCUAUCAGGAUGUCCGCGGUGAAGGAGCUGCUGCUGCUGCUGCCUCUGGUCCUCCUGGCACUUGAAGUUUUAUGUCGAUAAACAGACCGAAGCUACAAACAGGCG